GGGCCAGACUCCUACGGGAGGCAGCAGUGGGGAAUAUUGCACAAUGGGGGAAACCCUGAUGCAGCGACGCCGCGUGAGUGAAGAAGUAUUUCGGUAUGUAAAGCUCUAUCAGCAGGGAAGAAAAUGACGGUACCUGACUAAGAAGCCCCGGCUAACUACGUGCCAGCAGCCGCGGUAAUACGUAGGGGGCAAGCGUUAUCCGGAUUUACUGGGUGUAAAGGGAGCGUAGGUGGCAUGGUAAGCCAGAAGUGAAAACCCGGGGCUCAACCCCGCGGAUUGCUUUUGGAACUAUCAGGCUGGAGUGCUGGAGGGGUAAGCGGAAUUCCUAGUGUAGCGGUGAAAUGCGUAGAUAUUAGGAGGAACACCAGUGGCGAAGGCGGCCUGCUGGGCUUUUACUGACGCUGAGGCUCGAAAGUGUGGGGAGCAAACAGGAUUAGAUACCCCCGUAG
RNAcentral lists this ribosomal RNA (449 nucleotides) under uncultured bacterium. Its description in RNAcentral is "bacterial SSU rRNA". It matches the Rfam family "Bacterial small subunit ribosomal RNA", at positions 328 to 793 of the family's 1533-position model. The record is from RNAcentral.